This is a small nuclear RNA of Echinops telfairi (small Madagascar hedgehog), 167 nucleotides long. RefSeq annotates it as U1 spliceosomal RNA. Lineage: Eukaryota; Metazoa; Chordata; Mammalia; Afrosoricida; Tenrecidae. The transcript has a single exon. The record is from RefSeq and is a predicted model, not a curated record.
AUACUUACCUGGCAGGGGCAAUACCAUGAUCACGAAGGUGGUUUUCCCAUGGCGAGGCUGCUUAUCCAUUGCACAACGGAUGUGCUGACCCCUUCGAUUUCUCCAAAUGUGGGAAACUCCACUGCAUAAUUUGUGGUAGUGGGGGACUGCAUUCGUGCUCUCGCCAG